RNAcentral lists this long non-coding RNA (728 nucleotides) under Mustela putorius furo (domestic ferret). RNAcentral's name for it is "lncRNA (ENSMPUG00000031579.1)". The record is from RNAcentral. Lineage: Eukaryota; Metazoa; Chordata; Mammalia; Carnivora; Mustelidae.
UAGGUGGAUGAAGACAGCCAAAGGGCACGAACCCGGGGCCUUCAGUUGAGGGAUGCAGCCACCUCCAGGUGAUCGGUAGGGAUGAAGCUGAAGGAGCAAACAUCCAGAUGUCACUCUGUGUGCACUCUUCCAUCUGGCGGUGCCUCCUAUUGGCAGAACUCAACCAGAAGACGGGGACAAGGAAUCUGCGGAUGCCGUCCCUAGGGUCAGCCUCUGAGGCCCAGACGAAGGCGGAGGAGGCUGGAGAGCAGAUCCGCAAGGACAAAUGGAAAGUGGCAGGAAAAGUUCACUGACCCUGGGCUAUACCUGUUGUACCAGGCAGAACCAGUUACAUAACCUGUGGGUCUUAAUGAAAAAUGAAAAUGCAGGGCCCCUUCUUCAAAAUCCAUUCAGUAUUUCAAGAUGGCAGUGGCAGAACAUUAAGGAGAAGGUAAGGCUUUUCUAAGUGUCGGGUCACGUGGAUCUGCACAGAUUUCUGCCUACGUGUAGAAACACACGUAGAAUGUUUUCUAGCAGAAUACUAUGGCUGCAUGGUAGUCCAAUUACUUCACUAUCUGUGGAGGUUUGGGGAGCAGGAUAUAUGGAAUUCGACAUAAUGGCAGUGUUCUAGGGGUACAGAGAUCUACCAGAACAGGGGGGUUAUUUGAGGGAGCAUUUUUACAGUGCAACAUUUUUUUUCAAUUAGGCAAAACUUAGAGAAUAGAACAGAGAAACCAAGAGACAUUCGU